GUUGGUGAACCAGCGGAGGGAUCAUUACAGAGCUUAACAACUCCCAAACCCCUGUGAACAUACCACCGUUGCUUCGGCGGGCACGCCCCGGGCGCGCGCAAGCGUGCCCCGGAACCAGGCGCCCGCCGGAGGACCCGAACUCUUGUUUUAGCAGUGGCAUCUUCUGAGUAAUUUUAUAAAUAAAUCAAAACUUUCAACAACGGAUCUCUUGGUUCUG
RNAcentral lists this unclassified non-coding RNA (217 nucleotides) under rhizosphere metagenome. Its description in RNAcentral is "partial ribosomal RNA internal transcribed spacer region". The record is from RNAcentral.